UAUUGGACAAUGGGGGGAACCCUGAUCCAGCGACGCCGCGUGAGUGAAGAAGUAUUUCGGUANGUAAAGCUCUAUCAGCAGGGAANNAANNNANGACGGUACCUGACUAAGAAGCCCCGGCUAACUACGUNNNANCNGCCGCGGUAAUACGUAGGGGGCAAGCGUUAUCCGGAUUUACUGGGUGUAAAGGGAGUGUAGACGGCAAUGCAAGUCUGGAGUGAAAGGCGGGGGCCCAACCCCCGGACUGCUCUGGAAACUGUAUAGCUGGAGUGCAGGAGAGGUAAGUGGAAUUCCUAGUGUAGCGGUGAAAUGCGUAGAUAUUAGGAGGAACACCAGUGGCGAAGGCGGCUUACUGGACUGUAACUGACGUUGAGGCUCGAAAGCGUGGGGAGCAAACAGG
RNAcentral lists this ribosomal RNA (400 nucleotides) under uncultured bacterium. Its description in RNAcentral is "partial 16S ribosomal RNA". It matches the Rfam family "Bacterial small subunit ribosomal RNA", at positions 362 to 776 of the family's 1533-position model. The record is from RNAcentral.